CCAAACACUGAGGCGUGAUGACGAGGCACUACGGUGCUGAAGUGGUUGAUGCCAUGCUUCCAAGAAAAGUCCCUAAGCUUCAGGUUAGUGCUGACCGUACCCCAAACCGACACAGGUGGGCUGGAUGAGAAUUCCAAGGCGCUUGAGAGAACUCGGAUGAAGGAACUAGGCAAAAUGGUACCGUAACUUCGGGAGAAGGUACGCCCCUGACGGUGUUAAAGCUGUUGGGGGCCCCAGAGACCAGGCCGCUGCGACUGUUUAUCAAAAACACAGCACUCUGCAAACACGAAAGUGGACGUAUAGGGUGUGACGCCUGCCCGGUGCCGGAAGGUUAAUUGAUGGGGUUAGCGCAAGCGAAGCUCUUGAUCGAAGCCCCGGUAAACGGCGGCCGUAACAAUAACGGUCCUAAGGUAGCGAAAUUCCUUGUCGGGUAAGUUCCGACCUGCACGAAUGGCGUAACGAUGGCGGCACUGUCUCCAUCCGAGACUCAGUGAAAUUGAAAUCGCUGUGAAGAUGCAGUGUACCCGCGGCUAGACGGAAAGACCCCGUGAACCUUUACUGUAGCUUUGCACUGAACAUUGAACUUGCUUGUGUAGGAUAGGUGGGAGACUAUGAAACCGGGACGCCAGUUCUGGUGGAGUCAUCCUUGAAAUACCACCCUGGCAAUUUUGAUGUUCUAACCUCGACAUAACAGUGUCAGGGACAGUGCAUGGUGGGCAGUUUGACUGGGGCGGUCUCCUCCCAAAGAGUAACGGAGGAGCGCGAAGGUGUGCUAAUCUCGGUCGGAAAUCGAGAGGUUUGUGUAAAGGCAUAAGCACACUUGACUGCGAGACAGACAAGUCGAGCAGGUACGAAAGUAGGUCUUAGUGAUCCGGUGGCUCUGAAUGGAAGGGCCAUCGCUCAACGGAUAAAAGGUACUCCGGGGAUAACAGGCUGAUUCCUCCCAAGAGUCCAUAUCGACGGGGGAGUUUGGCACCUCGAUGUCGGCUCAUCGCAUCCUGGGGCUGAAGCAGGUCCCAAGGGUAUGGCUGUUCGCCAUUUAAAGCGGUACGCGAGCUGGGUUCAGAACGUCGUGAGACAGUUCGGUCCCUAUCUGCCGUGGGCGUUGGAGAUUUGAGGGAAGCUGACCUUAGUACGAGAGGACCGGGUUGGACGAACCUCUGGUGUUCCUGUUGUCACGCCAGUGGCAUUGCAGGGUAGCUAUGUUCGGACGGGAUAACCGCUGAAAGCAUCUAAGCGGGAAGCCCCUCCCAAGAUGAGAUCUCCCUAACCCCUAGAGGGUUCUAAAGGGCCGUUGGAGACUACGACGUUGAUAGGCUGGGUGUGGAAGUGCGGUAACGCAUGUAGCUAACCAGUACUAAUUGCCCGUGAGGCUUGAUC
RNAcentral lists this ribosomal RNA (1380 nucleotides) under metagenome. RNAcentral's name for it is "bacterial LSU rRNA". It matches the Rfam family "Bacterial large subunit ribosomal RNA", at positions 1549 to 2925 of the family's 2925-position model. The record is from RNAcentral.